GCCGGGCGUGGUGGCGCAUGCCUGUAAUCCCAGCUCCUCAGGAGGCUGAGGCACAAGAAUCGCUUGAACCCGGGAAGGGGAGGUUGCAGUGAGCCGAGAUCGUGCCACUGCACUCCAGCCUGGGUAACAGAGCGAGAGUCAGUCUCAA
RNAcentral lists this non-coding RNA (148 nucleotides) under Nomascus leucogenys (northern white-cheeked gibbon). Lineage: Eukaryota; Metazoa; Chordata; Mammalia; Primates; Hylobatidae. The record is from Rfam by way of RNAcentral.